This 627-nucleotide long non-coding RNA is filed under the name Vigna radiata. RNAcentral describes it as "long non-coding RNA (VRAD_LNC002517)". The record is from RNAcentral. Lineage: Eukaryota; Viridiplantae; Streptophyta; Magnoliopsida; Fabales; Fabaceae.
AAAAAUGGUAUUUGGAACGUUUUAUGCAUUGACAACCCCUGAUUCAAGAUGCUCUGUUGCAGGCUCUACGACAUCGGUUGUCCUCCAACAGAGGCAAUAUGAUGUUUAUGCUUUGGUUUUGAAUGUAACCGAGGCAUAUAGUUAUUUACAAUUUUUUUUUUAAUUUUUUGGAGGGUUUACGCCUCGGUUGCACUUUUGACCGAGGUAGUAAGGCUGUUUUUGCCUCAGCUAAGUGGAGAACUGAGACAAUAACCUAUUUAAAUUUCUGAAAUCGCGAAACAAAAGCACUCUUCCCUGUUUAACUUCUUCUCCCCCGCGAAACAGAACGCCUCUCGCACCACUUUCUCUUUGCUUCCAUCAUGCCGGUGACCACCGUUUACUAUCGUCGUCUCCUCCUUUCCGCGUUGUCAUCACCCCUAACUGCUUUGGUUGUUUCCUCCACCACGUUUAUCCAUCCGUUUGGCAGCAUUGCUUUCAUCUCUGCCACCGGUGCACCAUUGAUCGUUGUCUCCGCCUCUCUGCAUUGUCACUGCUGUUAAGUUCUUUUCGCCGCUUCCUCCACCACCUCUCUGCAUUGUCACCACUUAUUAACGCCUUCUUCUUGGUGUGUGGUAAGUUCUUGAACCC